Molecule: ribosomal RNA, 492 nt
Filed under: uncultured bacterium
Lineage: Bacteria
Description: partial 16S ribosomal RNA
Rfam family: Bacterial small subunit ribosomal RNA
Source: RNAcentral
AGUGAACGCUGGCGGUAGGCCUAACACAUGCAAGUCGAACGGCAGCACAGUAAGAGCUUGCUCUUACGGGUGGCGAGUGGCGGACGGGUGAGGAAUACAUCUGAAUCUACUUUUUCGUGGGGGAUAACGUAGGGAAACUUACGCUAAUACCGCAUACGACCUACGGGUGAAAGCAGGGGAUCUUCGGACCUUGCGCGAUUGAAUGAGCCGAUGUCGGAUUAGCUAGUUGGCGGGGUAAAGGCCCACCAGGGCGACGAUCCGUAGCUGGUCUGAGAGGAUGAUCAGCGACACGGGAACUGAGACACGGUCCAGACUCCUACGGGAGGCAGCAGUGGGGAAUAUUGGACAAUGGGCGCAAGCCUGAUCCAGCCAUACCGCGUGGGUGAAGAAGGCCUUCGGGUUGUAAAGCCCUUUUGUUGGGAAAGAAAAGCAGCAGGUUAAUACCCCGCUGUUCUGACGGUACCCAAAGAAUAAGCACCGGCUAACUUCGUG